CCCUCAUGAGCUUCAACAGUGACC
Molecule: non-coding RNA, 24 nt
Filed under: Cricetulus griseus (Chinese hamster)
Lineage: Eukaryota; Metazoa; Chordata; Mammalia; Rodentia; Cricetidae
Source: RNAcentral